GACGAACGCUGGCGGCGUGCCUAAUACAUGCAAGUUGAGCGAUGAAGAUUGGUGCUUGCACCAAUUUGAAGAGCAGCGAACGGGUGAGUAACGCGUGGGGAAUCUGCCUUUGAGCGGGGGACAACAUUUGGAAACGAAUGCUAAUACCGCAUAACAACUUUAAACAUAAGUUUUAAGUUUGAAAGAUGCAAUUGCAUCACUCAAAGAUGAUCCCGCGUUGUAUUAGCUAGUUGGUGAGGUAAAGGCUCACCAAGGCGAUGAUACAUAGCCGACCUGAGAGGGUGAUCGGCCACAUUGGGACUGAGACACGGCCCAAACUCCUACGGGAGGCAGCAGGAGGGAAUCUUCGGCAAUGGACGAAAGUCUGACCGAGCAACGCCGCGGGAGGGAAGAAGGGUUUCGGAUCGUAAAACUCUGUUGGUAGAGAAGAACGUUGGUGAGAGUGGAAAGCUCAUCAAGUGACGGUAACUACCCAGAAAGGGACGGCUAACUACGUG
RNAcentral lists this ribosomal RNA (497 nucleotides) under uncultured bacterium. RNAcentral's name for it is "partial 16S ribosomal RNA". It matches the Rfam family "Bacterial small subunit ribosomal RNA", at positions 28 to 507 of the family's 1533-position model. The record is from RNAcentral.